GACGAACGCUGGCGGCGUGCUAACACAUGCAAGUCGAACGGUGAAGCGCCUUCCUUUUUGGUGGGUGUGGAUGAGUGGCGAACGGGUGAGUAACACGUGAGUAACCUGCCCCCUUCUUCUGGAUAACCGCAUGAAAGUGUGGCUAAUACGGGAUAUUCUGGGUCUGUCGCAUGAUGGGUCUGGGAAAGGUUUUUUUCUGGUGGGGGAUGGGCUCGCGGCCUAUCAGCUUGUUGGUGGGGUGAUGGCCUACCAAGGCGGUGACGGGUAGCCGGCCUGAGAGGGUGGACGGUCACACUGGGACUGAGACACGGCCCAGACUCCUACGGGAGGCAGCAGUGGGGAAUAUUGCACAAUGGGCGCAAGCCUGAUGCAGCGACGCCGCGUGAGGGAUGGAGGCCUUCGGGUUGUGAACCUCUUUCGCCAGUGAAGCAGG
This 433-nucleotide ribosomal RNA is filed under the name Actinomyces sp. oral taxon E75. RNAcentral describes it as "bacterial SSU rRNA". It matches the Rfam family "Bacterial small subunit ribosomal RNA", at positions 28 to 451 of the family's 1533-position model. The record is from RNAcentral. Lineage: Bacteria; Bacillati; Actinomycetota; Actinomycetes; Actinomycetales; Actinomycetaceae.